AACGAACGCUGGCGGCAUGCCUAACACAUGCAAGUCGAACGAGACCUUCGGGUCUAGUGGCGCACGGGUGCGUAACGCGUGGGAACCUGCCCUUAGGUUCGGAAUAACUCCCCGAAAGGGGUGCUAAUACCGGAUAAUGUCUUCGGACCAAAGAUUUAUCGCCUUUGGAUGGGCCCGCGUUGGAUUAGCGAGUUGGUAGGGUAAAAGCCUACCAAGGCGACGAUCCAUAGCUGGUCUGAGAGGAUGAUCAGCCACACUGGGACUGAGACACGGCCCAGACUCCUACGGGAGGCAGCAGUGGGGAAUAUUGGACAAUGGGCGAAAGCCUGAUCCAGCAAUGCCGCGUGAGUGAUGAAGGCCUUAGGGUUGUAAAGCUCUUUUACCCGGGAUGAUAAUGACAGUACCGGGAGAAUAAGCUCCGGCUAACCCCGUG
This 433-nucleotide ribosomal RNA is filed under the name uncultured bacterium. Its description in RNAcentral is "partial 16S ribosomal RNA". It matches the Rfam family "Bacterial small subunit ribosomal RNA", at positions 29 to 507 of the family's 1533-position model. The record is from RNAcentral.